This is an RNA transcript of Rosa chinensis, 3750 nucleotides long. It is a transcript of the gene named F-box protein CPR1, with no coding region annotated. NCBI's taxonomy places the organism in Eukaryota, Viridiplantae, Streptophyta, Magnoliopsida, Rosales, Rosaceae. The transcript is spliced from 3 exons. The record is from RefSeq and is a predicted model, not a curated record.
UGUAUCUCACAAUUUCUCACGUAAAAGGCCCUGAAAGCCCCCCAACCGUGGAGAUUACAAACCCCUAUGCUCCGCAGUUGAUUGCAAAUGGCGGAUCACUUACCGGAACAUGUGAUAGUUCAAAUCCUGGAGAGGUUGCCGACUAAAUCCCUAAUCCGCUUCACCUCCGUUUCAAAACGCUGGCGCUUCAUCAUACUGUCUGACCCACAUUUCGCCAAGUCCCAAUUCCAAAUCGGUUCUCACCACCAAACCCUCCGUCACAGGCUCCUCAUCUCCUCCGCCUCCGAAUCUAGAUUCAAGUCACUGGACUUGGAUGCGCCGUCGCAGUCGCCGUUGGGAGACAUUUGUUCGGUUAGGUGCCCAUUGGCGCAACAACCGGGGAGCCCUCCUAUCAGAAUACUGUGCUCCUGCAAUGGUUUGAUACUUGCAACUCUUGAGGAUCAAGAAAACAACAUGUAUAUAUGGAACCCAUCUACUCAAUUCUUCAAAAACUUACCUGACCCAGCUGAUCUUCCCUCAAAACCUCAAUGUCUAGUCUACUAUGGUUUUGGCUAUUUGUCGGCCACUGACGACUACAAAAUUAUUGCCAACCUUGAAGUCAUCCUUGGUGGUGAGGUGGAGGGCAAGGAGAUGCACAUCUUCUCAUCAAAAGCAAACAUUUGGAAAAGGACUGAAUCCCCUCUCGAUUCCGACAUUCAAUACGAGGGGACUCUUUCAAACGAGGCACUUCAUUGGUUGGACAACCUUGGCAUCUUAGCUUUUGAUCUAGCGAAGGAGGAGUUCCGAAGAUUGCCGCUGCCUAUUCUAGAUGGUGACUUUAGGGGUCUCAGGGCUUUUGGAGACUGUCUCUGUGCAUUUGAUUUUGAAAAUCUUGAUUUGUGGGUGAUGAAAGAAUACGGCGUGGCUGACUCAUGGACGAAGCUCUUUAAAUUAAAGGUUUCCAAUCAGCCUGAGAAGAUAUUUGGUUGCUGGCCAAUGUCGGUAAUGGAAACUAGUACAUUUCUGCAGAAAGGGCCUUUAUGCCGUGGUGGGGAGCUUGUGUUUGAUUUGAUAAGGAGUGUUCAUACGGAAGAGAAGCCUGAAAUGCAUGUGUUGAGCAGCGAUGCAGAUUUCAGGGAAAUGAUCGAAUAUCAAGAGACACUACUUUGGCUUGGUUGCCGAUCAAAUCCUUAAUCCGCUUCCCCUCCGUUUCAAAACGCUGGCGCUCCAUCAUAUUGUCCGACCCAAAAUUUGCCAAAUCCCAGUUCCAAAUAGCUUCUCAGCACCAAACCUUCCGUCACAGAGUCCUCAUCUCCACUGCCCAUGAAUCUGAAUUUGAAUCCCGAGACUUGGCAGCGUCGUCGUGUCGUCAUUUAACGACAAUUCUUCAGUGAGAAAGGUUAGGUGCCCGUUCAAUCCACCUGGCACUGUUGUCAAUUUCCUUUGCUCCUGCAACGGUUUGGUAUGUGUAGCUCUUACUUUUGACCAAACCAACAUUAUCUGGAACCCAUCAACUGGGUUCUUCAAAAAGCUACCUCACCCAGUUGCUGUUCCCUUGAAAGAUCAAGGUGUACUCUGUUACGGUUUUGGCUAUCUGUCGGCCACUGACGACUACAAAGUUGUCGCAAAACUUGAAGACCAUGGGGGGAAGGAAGAGCAGGCCGAGAUCUUCUCAUUGAGAGCUGACAGUUGGAAAAGGAUUCAAGACCCCCCGUUUUACAACGAUUAUGAUUAUGAUUAUGGGACUCUUUCGAAUGAGGCACUUCAUUGGAUUACAGGUGAUGAUAUUGUAGCUUUUGAUCUGGCUAAAGAGGAGUUCCGAAGAAUGCCGCUGCCUGUUGGUGACCACCAGUUUGAUGAGAAGCAUCUAGUUCAUCUGGGUUAGAGGUUGCCUGUGUGUGUUUGGUCGUGAGAAUACUGAUGAUGUUGGCUCUCCUGAUUUGUGGAUCAUGAGAGAAUAUGACGUGGCGGAGUCGUGGACGAAGCUGUUCAACUUGAAGGUUUCCAAUCUGCCUAAUGAGAGAUAUUAUCUCAGGCCUAUCUUGGUGAUGGAAACUGGUACAUUUCUGUAUAAAUGGACUUACACUUGUGGCAGGGGGGUGGAUUAUAAAUUGAUAAGGAGUGGUCAUGAGGAAGAGAAGCUUGAGACGUAUAUGUUUACCAGGGAUAGACCUGACAUGAUUGAAUAUGAAGAGAGUCUACUUUCGCUUGGAUGAAGGAUUGAUCCCAGUAUUCAAAUUAUGGUAUUGAUUGUUAUAUCUCUGGUUGGGGUAGAUCUUAGAGCGUACAUCUGCAAGAGCAAUUGGGUGGACCAAAUGAAGUCUUCUUAGAGGACCUUGUUGCAUUUCGCCAUUAUAGCAAUGAUGGUAUCUUGAUAUCUUCCCCAAGAUAUCCUUUGUUGGAGGCAAUCAGUGUCUGCUAUUCUAUGAAUAUUUGUUGUUGAUAUAUGAUCAUGAUAUAUCCUAUGAUAAUAUAACCAGUGUGUUGUUUUAUUUUAUUUCUCAAGGCUUAACUGUAUGGCUAUAAAGGCAUCACUACACUUUGGUGACUUUGCUAUGUUCAUGCUUAAGUCUGUUUGUGCUUGCUAUAGACCGCAUAAGGGAGCAAAGGCUAUUGCCUCCUUUGGAACAGGGAAAACGCACAUAACAUAAUCACCUGCUUAUGCAUCUGAUAGUGGCCUUCCUUAUCAGGCUACCACAUUUGAUUUCCAUGAUGCAAUGUACUGCAGUUUGCAUAAUGUUUUUGAUAAAUUUUUUGUUUUCAUAGUCUUUAUAGUCCAGAUUUAAAUGACCAGUCAUGUAGUAUGUCAAAAGAUGGGAUUGGCCAGUAUAAUUUCUUCUUUGUUUCUUAUUAAUUGUUUGUGAAUUGGAGUAUCUUUAAAAAAGAAACUUUUCAAUUUUCAUUAGUGAAAUCAAGUUACUAAGCGUUGGUUCUUUUGUAUUCUAUUUCUCCUCAGGACAUGCAAAUGUUCUAGGAGCCUCCGACUAUUCUACUUGAAGAUUAAGGGUCUAUUAGGCAGUAUAUUUUAUAUAGUUACGUUACGUACUAAAAUUAAUAUUAGCUCAUCAAAACUCGAUGGGGCAAGCAACUCUCAAGUUGGUUAGUCACCAGAUGCAUUUCGGUCAUCAGCUACACACCAUCAUUUCAAUUGCACUAGUAGCUUACCAACCAAGCUUGCCAAGCCAACUGCAAAUAUGGCGGAGCACAUACCAUAAGAUGUCAUGGUGAAAAUCCUGUAGUGGUUGCCGAUCAAGUCAAUCCGCUUCACCUGCGUUUCGAGACGCUGGCAGUUCAUCAUGAUUUGCCAAUUCUGAAUUCCAGAUAGCUUGUCAGUAGCAAACCCCGACUCCCAGACUCGUCACCUGCUCUAAAUCUGAAAUUGAAUACCUACACUUGGAGAUGAUUCGUCUUCUUCAAAGCUUAGCCGCCCAUACAAUCAACCGGGUCGCGUUUGGUCAGAAUACUGUGCUCAUGCAAUGGUUUGGUUCUUGCAGCUCUUGAUCUGCAAGAAGAUUGACGACAUCCUGUACCUAAACCUGGCAGCGAACACUUGGUCCGUAAGUUGAAGAAAUCUAUCUAUGGACUGAAACAAGCAUCUAGGCAAUGGUAUAAAAAGUUUGAUGCUGUGGUUACUUCUUUCGGAUUCACUGAAAAUAUUGUUGAUGAAUGUGUUUAUCUGAAAACAGUAGGCAAGCAUUUCAUUUUUCUGAUUUUAUACGUGGAUGACAUAUUGGUUGCUAGCAGUGAUCUAAAUUUAUUGAAAUCAACUAA